UCAUCUCUGUUUCUAGGCUUCCUUAUACUAUGUUUGGCUUUCCAAGUUUCUUUCCGUUUUAAAGUCUGAAUUCAGAGCUGUGCAGGUUUGCAUUCCAGCAGUGAAUGUGUUAUGGAGAGAGGGUGUACUCUUCCGGAGCCGGCAAGUCUGGACUGAAGCCCAGCGUCCCCUGAUGUCUCUGUGAGGCCACUGUCAAGGGAACCCUGGAUCAGAUCCUAUGAACAAACCCUUGUGUGUGCCAAUCACAUCCACAGCAUUGGUUCAAGUUGCUAUGACAGGUGCGAGGUAGAAGAAACCCAGAAGAGCUUCGUGGACUGUGAUGAUGUGGUGGUAUCUUGGAAGAAGAGCUUAAUGCUUCAACUUCAGCAGCCACUGUCAUCUUUCUGGCUAAGACAUCGCAAACUUUGUCAUUGUUUCCUUGAUUAAUUUUUUGGUAACACAAUGGACAGAUUUUUAACCACAGAAUAAAUCCUUAUAAUAAAUUUGACUUGCA
This 493-nucleotide long non-coding RNA is filed under the name Vulpes vulpes (red fox). Its description in RNAcentral is "lncRNA (ENSVVUG00000013481.1)". Lineage: Eukaryota; Metazoa; Chordata; Mammalia; Carnivora; Canidae. The record is from RNAcentral.